AUGAACGCUGGCGGCGUGCCUAACACAUGCAAGUCGAGCGAAGCACUUUGCUUAGAUUCUUCGGAUGAAGAGGAUUGUGACUGAGCGGCGGACGGGUGAGUAACGCGUGGGUAACCUGCCUCAUACAGGGGGAUAACAGUUAGAAAUGACUGCUAAUACCGCAUAAGACCACAGCACCGCAUGGUGCGGGGGUAAAAACUCCGGUGGUAUGAGAUGGACCCGCGUCUGAUUAGCUAGUUGGUAAGGUAACGGCUUACCACGGCGACGAUCAGUAGCCGACCUGAGAGGGUGACCGGCCACAUUGGGACUGAGACACGGCCCAAACUCCUACGGGAGGCAGCAGUGGGGAAUAUUGCACAAUGGGGGAAACCCUGAUGCAGCGACGCCGCGUGAGCGAAGAAGUAUUUCGGUAUGUAAAGCUCUAUCAGCAGGGAAGAAAAUGACGGUACCUGACUAAGAAGCACCGGCUAAAUACGUGCCAGCAGCCGCGGUAAUACGUAUGGUGCAAGCGUUAUCCGGAUUUACUGGGUGUAAAGGGAGCGUAGACGGAUGGGCAAGUCUGAUGUGAAAACCCGGGGCUCAACCCCGGGACUGCAUUGGAAACUGUUCAUCUAGAGUGCUGGAGAGGUAAGUGGAAUUCCUAGUGUAGCGGUGAAAUGCGUAGAUAUUAGGAGGAACACCAGUGGCGAAGGCGGCUUACUGGACAGUAACUGACGUUGAGGCUCGAAAGCGUGGGGAGCCAACAGGAUUAGAUACCCUGGUAGUCCACCCCGUAAACAAUGACUACUAGGUGUCGGGUGGCAAAAGACCAUUCGGUGCCGCAGCAAACGCAAAUAAGUAGUCCACCUGGGGGAGUACGUUCGCAAGAAUGAAACUCAAAGGAAUUGACGGGGACCCGCACAAGCGGUGGAGCAUGUGGUUUAAUUCGAAGCAACGCGAAGAACCUUUCCUGCUCUUGACAUCCCGCUGACCGGACGGUAAUGCGUCCUUCCCUUCGGGGCAGCGGAGACAGGUGGUGCAUGGUUGUCGUCAGCUCGUGUCGUGAGAUGUUGGGUUAAGUCCCGCAACGAGCGCAACCCCUAUCUUUAGUAGCCAGCGGCCAGGCCGGGCACUCUAGAGAGACUGCCGGGGAUAACCCGGAGGAAGGUGGGGAUGACGUCAAAUCAUCAUGCCCCUUAUGAGCAGGGCUACACACGUGUUACAAUGGCGUAAACAAAGGGAAGCGAGACCGCGAGGUGGAGCAAAUCCCAAAAAUAACGUCUCAGUUCGGAUUGUAGUCUGCAACUCGACUACAUGAAGCUGGAAUCGCUAGUAAUCGCGAAUCAGAAUGUCGCGGGGAAUACGUUCCCGGGUCUUGUACACACCUCCCGUCACACCAUGGGAGUCAGUAACGCCGGAAGUCAGUGACCCAACCGUAAGGAGGGAGCUGCCGAAGGCGG
This 1439-nucleotide ribosomal RNA is filed under the name uncultured organism. Its description in RNAcentral is "SSU rRNA". It matches the Rfam family "Bacterial small subunit ribosomal RNA". The record is from RNAcentral.